This 193-nucleotide non-coding RNA is filed under the name Enterocloster clostridioformis. The record is from RNAcentral. Lineage: Bacteria; Bacillati; Bacillota; Clostridia; Lachnospirales; Lachnospiraceae.
UCCAUCGCGAGGUGGAAUCUGAAGGAAGCCGGAUGUGGGAACAUACUAACCCAUGGGCAAAUCGCUGGUCUGACGGACAGAAAUUACAUAAGGCCAUACAUGAGGAUAAGACUGCGGCACAAGCCAAAGCCCAAUAACUAUACGGAAUCAUGUAUGGUAAAUGUGGCAGAUGGAUGGAGAGAAAGAAACGUGU